UAACAACACACAACAUUCCAGGAAUGUACUACCAAAGUUCUAUCAAUAUUUGAAUGUCCUGGACAUUUAGGGAACAUUCGGUGAACAUCUGAUUAAAUUAUUCCUGGAGUGUUACCAUAAGACAUUCUGUGAACAUACUACCAAUGUUCCUAUAUUUUAAGUUGCCAAAUAAUAAAUACGUGUAACAGAUAUAACAUUACUUAUAACAGAAACUUGUGCAAAAACGAAGAGAGGCAUUUAUAAUUAUUAUUCUUUUGCGUUCAUUUUCAAAUUCACGGCGCAUGUAUUUGUGCAUGGUGCUUAGAGAGGGCAUCACGUGACUAAAAACGACCAACGACCUCACUUGGACUUCGGCGCUUCGGCAAUCUUGGCAUGCAUCUUGGCCUUGGCCAUCUUGCCGUUCGUGACCGUUGUUUGUUUUUAUUUGUGCUUUUUAAGAAUAUUUUUUAAUUCGGGUACUUUUGUAAUAACUUUAAUAGUAUUAUUAACAUAGUGCAUAAAAUCAGUUGGAGUAGCAGAAGCAAUGUAGAUAAAAAAUCUGCAGGAAUAACGUUUCAAAGCUUUCCAGAAGAUCCUGCGAAGAAGGCAUGAAGUAUAGAUCAGAUUUGUUAAUAGAGCAGUAUGUACAAAACAUUUUUUAGAUAAAGAUAUUGACAGAAAUUCACUUUCAACUGUUCGUUUGAGAGACUGUGCUGUUCCAAUAGCUUAUAUCACACAGAAUCAGCUGAGAGAAGUGGUCUACAAAAAACCAGGAAGGAAAUGGAAUAUGUGGCUACGAAAGGCAAAAGAAAGGUUUACAAAGCAAAUGUGAUACAUUUUUUUAUAGGAAUAUCAGUAAAUUACAUUAAAAAAAUGUAUGAAAAGAUUUUUUGCAAU
Molecule: long non-coding RNA, 876 nt
Organism: Diabrotica virgifera virgifera (western corn rootworm)
Lineage: Eukaryota; Metazoa; Arthropoda; Insecta; Coleoptera; Chrysomelidae
Exons: 3
Source: RefSeq, a predicted model, not a curated record